AUCACUUCUAGGACUUUUGGCUAAGAUCAAGUGUAGUAUCUGUUCUUACCAUGUUAGAUCUACCAAAAUGAGGACAUACGGGCUAGAUAUAGAGUGUGGAUAUUAAGAAUAUGGGUUUUGGCUUCAGAUAGUUCUGGGUUCAAAUCCCAGAUCAAACAACUCCUAGCUGUGCAAUCUUGGGGAAAUCACUU
This is a non-coding RNA of Canis lupus familiaris (dog), 191 nucleotides long. The record is from Rfam. NCBI's taxonomy places the organism in Eukaryota, Metazoa, Chordata, Mammalia, Carnivora, Canidae.